GAUGAAGAACGUAGCGAAAUGCGAUACGUAAUGUGAAUUGCAGAAUUCAGUGAAUCAUCGAAUCUUUGAACGCAUAUUGCGCUCUUUGGUAUUCCGAAGAGCAUGCUUGUUUGAGUAUCAGUAAACACCUCAAAGCUUUUGGAUUUUUUAAUCGAAAAGCUUUGGACUUGAGCAAUCCCAACACCAAUCUUUUUGAGAUCGGUGGCGGGUUGCUUGAAAUGCAGGUGCAGCUGGACAUUCUCCUGAGCUAAAAGCAUAUUCAUUUAGUCCCGUCAAACGGAUUAUUACUUUUGCUGCAGCUAACAUAAAGGGAGUUUGACCGUAUUGGCUGACUGAUGCAGGAUUUCACAAGGGUCGGCAACGAUUCUUGUUAAACUCGAUCUAAAAUCAAGUAAGACUACCCGCUGAACUUAAGCAUAUCAAUAAGCGGAGGA
Molecule: unclassified non-coding RNA, 434 nt
Filed under: soil metagenome
Description: partial contains 5.8S ribosomal RNA, internal transcribed spacer 2, and large subunit ribosomal RNA
Rfam family: 5.8S ribosomal RNA (bases 1-120)
Source: RNAcentral